This 447-nucleotide ribosomal RNA is filed under the name uncultured bacterium. RNAcentral's name for it is "partial 16S ribosomal RNA". It matches the Rfam family "Bacterial small subunit ribosomal RNA", at positions 29 to 523 of the family's 1533-position model. The record is from RNAcentral.
AACGAACGCUGGCGGCUGGCUUAACACAUGCAAGUCGAGCGCCCCGCAAGGGGAGCGGCAGACGGGUGAGUAACACGUGGGAAUCUACCCAUCCCUACGGAACAACUCCGGGAAACUGGAGCUAAUACCGUAUACGCCCUUCGGGGGAAAGAUUUAUCGGGGAUGGAUGAGCCCGCGUUGGAUUAGCUAGUUGGUGGGGUAAAGGCCUACCAAGGCGACGAUCCAUAGCUGGUCUGAGAGGAUGAUCAGCCACAUUGGGACUGAGACACGGCCCAAACUCCUACGGGAGGCAGCAGUGGGGAAUAUUGGACAAUGGGCGCAAGCUUGAUCCAGCCAUGCCGCGUGAAUGAUGAAGGCCUUAGGGUUGUAAAGUUCUUUCACCGAUGAAGAUAAUGACGGUAGUCGGAGAAGAAGCCCCGGCUAACUUCGUGCCAGCCGCCGCUGUAA